This is a long non-coding RNA of Hippocampus comes (tiger tail seahorse), 169 nucleotides long. RefSeq lists it as uncharacterized. The transcript has 3 exons. NCBI's taxonomy places the organism in Eukaryota, Metazoa, Chordata, Actinopteri, Syngnathiformes, Syngnathidae. The record is from RefSeq and is a predicted model, not a curated record.
UUGCCUGUCUACCACCUGUUUGAACAUUGCGCUGGGGCCGUACCUGGCCAAUCACGCAUUAAUUAGUUUACGCAAAAUGCUAUUCAAAUACUUGACAUUCAAUGAUUAAUCUGCCUUUUGUGUGCACACGUGCACUCUUUGAGCCAUGAGAAUGCAAGGCAAGGGUAUU